Molecule: ribosomal RNA, 574 nt
Filed under: Trichoderma atroviride
Lineage: Eukaryota; Fungi; Ascomycota; Sordariomycetes; Hypocreales; Hypocreaceae
Description: eukaryotic LSU rRNA
Rfam family: 5.8S ribosomal RNA (bases 197-350)
Source: RNAcentral
AGGGAUCAUUACCGAGUUUACAACUCCCAAACCCAAUGUGAACCAUACCAAACUGUUGCCUCGGCGGGGUCACGCCCCGGGUGCGUCGCAGCCCCGGAACCAGGCGCCCGCCGGAGGGACCAACCAAACUCUUUUCUGUAGUCCCCUCGCGGACGUUAUUUCUUACAGCUCUGAGCAAAAAUUCAAAAUGAAUCAAAACUUUCAACAACGGAUCUCUUGGUUCUGGCAUCGAUGAAGAACGCAGCGAAAUGCGAUAAGUAAUGUGAAUUGCAGAAUUCAGUGAAUCAUCGAAUCUUUGAACGCACAUUGCGCCCGCCAGUAUUCUGGCGGGCAUGCCUGUCCGAGCGUCAUUUCAACCCUCGAACCCCUCCGGGGGGUCGGCGUUGGGGACCUCGGGAGCCCCUAAGACGGGAUCCCGGCCCCGAAAUACAGUGGCGGUCUCGCCGCAGCCUCUCCUGCGCAGUAGUUUGCACAACUCGCACCGGGAGCGCGGCGCGUCCACGUCCGUAAAACACCCAACUUCUGAAAUGUUGACCUCGGAUCAGGUAGGAAUACCCGCUGAACUUAAGCAUAU